RNAcentral lists this unclassified non-coding RNA (336 nucleotides) under soil metagenome. RNAcentral's name for it is "partial contains 5.8S ribosomal RNA, internal transcribed spacer 2, and large subunit ribosomal RNA". The stretch from base 1 to 120 matches the Rfam family "5.8S ribosomal RNA", at positions 35 to 154 of the family's 154-position model. The record is from RNAcentral.
GAUGAAGAACGUAGCGAAAUGCGAUAAGUAAUGUGAAUUGCAGAAUUCAGUGAAUCAUCGAAUAUUUGAACGCACAUUGCGCCCGCCAGUAUUCUGGCGGGCAUGCCUGUUCGAGCGUCAUUUCAACCAUCAAGCCCCAGGCUUGUGUUGGGGACCUGCGGCUGCCGCAGGCCCUGAAAACCAGUGGCGGGCUCGCUGUCACACCGGGCGUAGUAGAUUUUAUCUCGAUCAGGGCGUGCUGCGGGUUCCGGCCGUUAAAAAGCCUUUUUUACCCAAGGUUGACCUCGGAUCAGGUAGGAAGACCCGCUGAACUUAAGCAUAUCAAUAAGCGGAGGA